Molecule: ribosomal RNA, 23 nt
Filed under: Omphalotus nidiformis
Lineage: Eukaryota; Fungi; Basidiomycota; Agaricomycetes; Agaricales; Omphalotaceae
Also listed under: 13 other names
Description: partial 18S ribosomal RNA
Source: RNAcentral
UGAACCUGCGGAAGGAUCAUUAU